Long non-coding RNA from Armigeres subalbatus, 749 nucleotides. RefSeq lists it as uncharacterized. Lineage: Eukaryota; Metazoa; Arthropoda; Insecta; Diptera; Culicidae. The record is from RefSeq and is a predicted model, not a curated record. The transcript has 3 exons.
AAAAGAGCCAUUUAGUCCUGAUGUUUAUUGUUAUGUUCAACACAGUGUGUAAAUAUCAACAAAGCUGACUACAGUCGGAACAUCGAUGGAUGCUGGGAGAAAAAUCAUCCUUAAAGGUCAUCGCCUUCCAGGAAAUGGGGACGAUGGCGACGAGACGAGAGACAUUCUACACGCUACGCUCUUUUCCACGGUCACCAUAAUAUCACGGUGGCACCCGAAACCAACAACACCGUACUGCUACCGCACGUACGGCGAUGAUGAUUAUGAUAGGGGGAGAUGAAAAUGAGAAUCCAUUUCGCCACAAGGCCGACGGUUCGGGAGAGAAAGAUGUGGCACCACACAGCAGGGCAGCGGAGCGGAUGCUGUGCGCUUCUUCCUGGCGACGAGUGGCGGGCGAGGUUCCACUGCCUCUAGUAGCAAUUUUGCCAACACACAUGCGUAUUAAUACGCAAUUGUUGGAUAGAAUUAGGUUAGGGAAAUUUGAUUUGAGUUGACAUUUAUUGUUUGGUCGGCAUUUGGAUCAAGCGUAUUAAGAAAUUAUUCUAAGUAGAUUACUGUAUCGGCAGUUACCACAGCUUAACAGAUUAGCGGUUCAUCUAAUCAGCUAAUAACAACUCUCCUUACAUGCAGUACAGGUUGUUAUCCGACGGUUUUAAAACAAGAAACAAGAUAGUAGCAGGGAUUACACGGAGUGCGGAAGAAAGUGGCAUUUAAAAAAAAAAACUAAAAACCAUACGGCACUUCAAUGA